Molecule: ribosomal RNA, 906 nt
Filed under: uncultured bacterium
Lineage: Bacteria
Description: bacterial SSU rRNA
Rfam family: Bacterial small subunit ribosomal RNA
Source: RNAcentral
AGAGUUUGAUUCUGGCUCAGAUUGAACGCUGGCGGAAUGCUUUACACAUGCAAGUCGAACGGCAGCACGGGAGCUUGCUCCUGGUGGCGAGUGGCGAACGGGUGAGUAAUGCGUCGGAACGUACCGAGUAAUGGGGGAUAACGCAGCGAAAGCUGUGCUAAUACCGCAUACGCCCUGAGGGGGAAAGUGGGGGAUCGCAAGACCUCACGUUAUUCGAGCGGCCGACGUCUGAUUAGCUAGUUGGUGGGGUAAAGGCUCACCAAGGCGACGAUCAGUAGCGGGUCUGAGAGGAUGAUCCGUCACACUGGAACUGAGACACGGUCCAGACUCCUACGGGAGGCAGCAGUGGGGAAUUUUGGACAAUGGGGGCAACCCUGACCCAGCCAUUCCGCGUGAGUGAAGAAGGCCUUCGGGUUGUAAAGCUCUUUCAGCCGGAACGAAACGGUACGCACUAAUAUUGUGUGCUAAUGACGGUACCGGCAGAAGAAGCACCGGCUAACUACGUGCCAGCAGCCGCGGUAAUACGUAGGGUGCGAGCGUUAAUCGGAAUUACUGGGCGUAAAGCGUGCGCAGGCGGAUUGUUAAGCAAGAUGUGAAAUCCCCGGGCUUAACCUGGGAAUGGCAUUUUGAACUGGCAGUCUAGAGUGUGUCAGAGGGGGGUGGAAUUCCACGUGUAGCAGUGAAAUGCGUAGAUAUGUGGAGGAACACCAAUGGCGAAGGCAGCCCCCUGGGAUAACACUGACGCUCAUGUACGAAAGCGUGGGUAGCAAACAGGAUUAGAUACCCUGGUAGUCCACGCCCUAAACGAUGUCAACUGGUUGUUGGGGGGAGUGAAAUCCCUUAGUAACGAAGCUAACGCGUGAAGUUGACCGCCUGGGGAGUACGGUCGCAAGAUUAAAACUCAAA